Molecule: ribosomal RNA, 732 nt
Filed under: uncultured Gemmatimonadota bacterium
Lineage: Bacteria; Pseudomonadati; Gemmatimonadota
Description: bacterial SSU rRNA
Rfam family: Bacterial small subunit ribosomal RNA
Source: RNAcentral
AGUGGCGGACGGGUGAGUAACACGUGAGCAAUCUGUCCCUGUGUGGGGGACAACCCGGGGAAACCCGGGCUAAUACCGCAUGGGCAGGCGUUUCAUAUGGGAUGCCUGGGAAAGAGGCCCUCUUUACAAUGGUCUCAUGCAGGGAGGAGCUCGCGGGCUAUCAGCUAGUUGGUAGUGGUAACGGCCUACCAAGGCGACGACGGCUACGGGGUCUGAGAGGACGACCCCGCACAUUGGAACUGAGACACGGUCCAGACUCCUACGGGAGGCAGCAGUGGGGAAUUUUGGGCAAUGGCCGCAAGGCUGACCCAGCGACGCCGCGUGUGGGAUGACGCCUCUCGGGGUGUAAACCACUGUCAGAGGGGAAGAAUAGCGCAGGUGCGAAUAGUGUCUGCGUGUGACGGUACCCUCAAAGGAAGCACCGGCUAACUCCGUGCCAGCAGCCGCGGUAAUACGGAGGGUGCAAGCGUUGUUCGGAUUUACUGGGCGUAAAGCGCGCGCAGGUGGAUGAACAAGUCGGAAGUGAAAUCUCGAGGCUCAACCUCGAGGCUGCUCCCGAAACUGUUUGUCUGGGGACUGGUAGAGGCUGGUAGAAUUCCCGGUGUAGCGGUGGAAUGCGUAGAGAUCGGGAAGAAUACCCGUGGCGAAGGCGGCCAGCUGGGCCAGAUCCGACACUGAGGCGCGAAAGCGUGGGGAGCAAACAGGAUUAGAUACCCUGGUAGUCCACGCCCU